This 948-nucleotide long non-coding RNA is filed under the name Homo sapiens (human). RNAcentral's name for it is "long non-coding RNA NONHSAT194864.1". Lineage: Eukaryota; Metazoa; Chordata; Mammalia; Primates; Hominidae. The record is from RNAcentral.
GCAGCAACCAGCUGGCGUCCCCCUUCUGCAAUGUCGAAGCUUUGUUCUUUUGCUCCUUGCAGUAACUCUUGCUGCUGCUCACUGUUUGGGUCUGCGCUACCUUUAUGAGCUGUAACACUCAUCUUGAAGGUCUGCAGGUUCACUCCUGAAGCCAACGAGACUAUGAACCCACCGGGAGGGAGGAACAACUCCGGAUGGAAGGAAAGAACAACUCCAGACACACUGCCUUUGAGAGCUGCAAUGCUCACCAUAAAGGUCUGCAGCUUCACUCCUGAAGCCACCGAGACCACGAAUCCACCAGAAGGAAGAAACUGUGGACACGUCCAAACAUCAGAAGUAACAAACUCCGGACACACCAUCUUUAAGAGCUGUAACACUCACCGCAAGGGUCUGCAGCUUCAUUCUUGAAGUCAGGGAGACCAAGAACCCACCAAUUCUGGACACAAUGUUUGGAGGAUGUUCACUAUCCUGAAAACAGGGACUGGACUCUUACUUCCUAUUUAUUAUGGCCCACCAUGAUCUCUGCAAUACGUGCAUGGAGCCUAAGUUAAAGCCUGAAAAAACAGCUAGGCAUGGUGGCAUGCACCUAUAGUCUGAGCUACUCAGGAGGCUGAAGUGGGAGGAUUGCUUGAGUACAGGAGUUCAAGGCUGCAGUAUGCUAUGAUCACAUCUAUGAACAGCCACUGUAUUCCAGCCUGGGCAACAUAGCUAGACCCUAUCUUAUUUAAAAAAGAAAAGAAAGGAAAAAAAGCUGGAAAAAAAUAAAAGGAAGUGCUGCAUGACACUAUUCAGGGAGAUGAGGUUAAUAGUUUUUAAGCAUGUGGUUUUCAUCCUAUUUUAUACCUUACUAUAAGGUAUAAAAGUAGAAAUAGGGACCUUGUAGAUCCAGUACUGACUUGGCAGAUAAGAGGAGAAAGCAGUCCAGAGGAGAAACCCUACUCAACGAGG